Molecule: unclassified non-coding RNA, 161 nt
Filed under: uncultured Xerocomus
Lineage: Eukaryota; Fungi; Basidiomycota; Agaricomycetes; Boletales; Boletaceae
Description: sequence contains ITS1
Source: RNAcentral
UAGAGAGAGAGAGGUACUGUCGCAGCCAAUGCACGUCCUCGUUCAUCUACACACACACACCUGUGCACCUUUAUUGUAGGCCCUCGAGAGAGGAUCUAUGUCAUUUCUAUAUAACUCGUCCUUGUCGUAUGUCUAGAACGAAUGAUAAUUGGGAUAAUAUA